AAGCUGAGCCGCAAGAAACGAAACAAAGAUGUUCUUUCUUGCUUUCUUUUCUUCCUUCCUUCCUUUCACCAUCUCUGCAUUAAUUCUGUUGUUCGGUUGCUCUGGUGACCGCUAAUGGCGGCUGGUUUGUGUCGGACACGCCGUGCAUUUUAACUGAGAGAGAUACCGUAAGAGGAAGGCUGGAAUACAACAUGGAAACAGGAGAAAGGCGGAGGGAAAAAACAGCUAAUUGACAUUUUGAAGAAUGCAGGAGAGAGAAGGGAACACGUUGGUGUUUAUCCAGAGCAGAAGAUGACGAACGAGUGAGAAGAAAAGAGAUGAAAAAGAUGCUGACAGGAUGAAUGCUGGCUGGAUGAACCUGUCGGUGUCUGGUUGGCUUGCAAACAGGUGGAAGCUGAAUUAGUGAGGAUGACUCCUGCUCCUGUCAUCUCUAAGCUCCUCACACAUCUUUACCUGCACAUGAGGAAAAUCACUCCUGUAGAAUGCAGAUGUUCAGAGGGAGAUGAUGCCACAUCUGGUCCAGCUGAUGGAAGGUCUUGAAGUUCUCUGACUGGCCUCGACUGAAGAUGGUCGUCUCACUGGAUUUAAGGUUCAGAUGCUCAGUAACAAACUCCACCAAUGAGCCAACAGGGAAGCUUGAGGUUUAUUAAAUGUUGCUAUGAAGGUAUCGCUGUUUUUCUUAGUGAAUGCAAUGUGCUCCAACUGAAACUUGAAUUAGAACUUAGAAGUAAAUCCUUCCAUCUGACAGGAUUUAGUUGCAUUAAUAACCUCAUAACAUUCUAAUUUUUAUUCCAGUCUUGGUUGAAAAUAGAAUCUCUGUAUUGAUUCAGGUAAAAACUGAACUUCACAGCAUGUUGGAGCAAAACAACCAGAUGAAAACUGUGAUGGUGUUGGAUUGUCAGACCGUAAUGUUGCAGCUCAAAGCAGCUUUUCUAUCUCAGUUCAUUCUGACAUUCAGCUAUGAAUCAACACAGCAGAUGGUGAUCCAUGCUGUGGAAGUCUCACAUCUCCUGAUUUAAUGGAGCUGCUUUGCACUUUUUACACUGUUUAUUCACCAACACUUUAUUUAAUAAAAGUCCCAUCUAGUUUUUAUGAGGAAUGUGAUGUUUUAAUUUCUCUGUGAAUAACUGCAGUCUAAUGCAACAGCUGGAGUUGUAACAUCUGUCCUGAUAUUGAUCAUGAAGUAUUGAUCAGAAUACUUAUGAUUAGCAGUCAUCCCUGAAGUUUUACAUUAAAAUCUUUACUUGUGUUGUGAACUUUGGUAAGAAGCAGAAACUUUAGCGUUGCCAUGGAUACAUGAGUGUUAAAUUCUGUCCAUGUUUCCAUUUUGGGAAAUUCAGUCCAGUUCCAGAAUGUGGAGGAAUUUAGUCUCAAUCACAGUCAACAAAUAUUAUCUGAAAGUCGGGUUAUUGUUGUUUAUCAGCACAAUAGAAAAAAGAUUAAUGUUAGAAAUAUUCCAGUUAAGACUCUAGAAUAUCAUGAUUUAUGUAAAUUUACCUCAAUAAUAUGAAUGUUCAGUUUGAUUGUGCAGUGAUUUUUAUUCUGUAAGUUCAGCUGAUUAAAGUUUGACUCUGCACUACAAUAUUAUUUAUUAUUUAAAUUUACAUCAUUAUUAUAAUAUUUAGGGUCAGACCCUACAGUAUUGAGAUUAAGAAAUCAAAUAUUCUAUAAAAUGUAAAUAUACUGAACUCAUUUGGAUAUAUUUAAGUGAGACUCUACAAUAUUAUUUGACACAAAUGUAUCUAAAUCAAAAUUUUAAUAAUUUUCAUGCCAAACAUUUACUGGACUGAUUUAAAUAUUAAAAUCACUCCUUUCUAAUCCUCUGCUGUACGUUCAAACCUGAGGCCUUAAAUAGAAACACACAAGUAUCUGAUUGAAGGAACUUCUGCAGAGUCCUGGUUCCAGAACAUGAUGAUAGAAUUAUAGACAAACUUUAACAAAAGCUGCCUGAGAGUUUACAGGUUUUUAUGUUGGAUUUCUUCAGUAAUUUAAUGAGAUUUAUCAGCAAAAAUCAAGUGUUCAUUUGAUGAACUUCAUUUCCUAAAACAUCCAGAAUUGGAGCUCAUAUCUUUGGCAGUUGUAAAGUUUCUGCUCCUUCAAAGUUCACAACACAAUAAAUGAAUUCCUAAAACACUCUCAAUGCUGGAGAGUGUUUGAUGCUGAAGCAGUGAUCAGUUUUUCUGUUUCUUCUCUGGAGAUGCACAAUGAGGGACGUCUGCAGUGACUGAGAAAGAGUCUCACCACAUCCUGACAUGAGGAAAAAGACUUUAUUGAAGACUACAAUGAGAAAAACUAUCAGACAGCAGACGGCUGCAUUCAAGGUGAGCUCUGAACAUUUGAUCUGGAACAGGAAUUCAGUAACGGCAGCAUGAGCUUCAUUUCAGUCUGUAGCUGCUGAAUUCAUGGAUGAAUCAUCUGGCACUAGAGAGGAAGACCAUCAAAUAUCCACGUCAGCUGAUGGAGGUCCAAGAGUCUCACCCAACAACCAACCUACAGAGUGAAGACCUUGAAUCUGAUUGGACGGCCUCCUAUUCAGCCACAUUUUAGGCUGUUAGAUUGUUCCAGAUAAGACAAGUACAAGAUUCUUCAGAGCCGUUCUACCACGAGCCUGACAGGAAGAACUCUAACAGCUACUGAAUGUUCCUGUGGUUCCCUCAAGGCUACAGGAGGAGUCCUACGAGGACGAGCCGGUCCACCUGAUGGAGGCCAGUCGCUGCAGUUCAAAGCCAACACCGACUAUGUGGACUUCUACUGGACCACACGGAGGCCUUCAAACCGGACCAACAAGUUCAGCGACUCCCCGACUCGUGGGUCUGAGGACGCCGCCAAGCCUCGGUCCAGCCGGCCUCCUGUCUGGGUGUUUGAGUGCUGAGAGGUUUGUGGAUACAUGUGAACAUAUCUGUGUUGAAACAGCAGCUUUUGCCUCAGUAACGCCGAGAAAAACCAAGAGCUCCUUUAUUUGUGACUUCCACUAAAAAAACUGAUGAAAAUAAGUUUGCCAGGGUUCUGACUGAUAACAGAUUAUUAAAUAAUGAAAAUAAUCAUUUAAAUAUUCCUUUAAACAAUCGUUUUAGGUCUACAUUUCCUUUACACUGACUUCUUGGUAUUUUGGGUGGAAUAUACCAUUAAGCCCAAUGUUCAAGGGUUCUUCUGGGAAUAUACCAUUAAACCAUCCUUUUAGGUAAAUGUUCUAGGAUGUUGGGUAGAAUAUACCAUCAGAUCAACCUUUUAGGUCUACAGUGGAAGAUUUUAGAGUAGAAUAUUACUCCAAACCAUCCUUUAGGUCGACAUUUAAGGUGGAAUACUCCUUUAAACCAAGAUUUUUUUGGUCGACAUUGAAAGAUUUUAGGUGGAAUAUUCCUUUGAAUGAACUUUUUAAGUUUAUGUUAAAGAAUGUUGGGUGGAAUAUACCAUCAGACCAACCUCCAAGGUCUACAGUAGUGAAUUUUAGGUGGAAUAUACCAUUAAACUCACCUUUUAGGUCUACAUUGGAGGAUUUUAGGUGGAAUUUUCUUCCAAACCGUCUUUUAGUCUACAUUUAAGGAUGUUUAGGAUGGUAUAUUCUUCCGAACCAACUUCUCAGGUCUACAUUUCAGGUGGAAUAUUCCUCCAUACUAACUUUUUUGGUCUACAUUGAAGGAUUUUUUCUAAACCACCCUUUCGGGUCUAUAUUUGAGGUUUUAGGUGGAAUAUUCCUUUUAACCAGCCCUUCAAGUCUCUUUGAGGAUUCUGGAUGGACUCCGCGGUUAAACCAACAUUUUAGGUGCAUGUCCAAGGAUUUUUGGUGGAAUGUUUCUUUAAGGUUGAUGUUUGAGGACCUUGUAGGUGGAAUACUUCCUGAAACCAACCUUUUAGGUCAACAUUCAAAGAUUUAAGGUGAAAUAUUCCUUUAAAUCAACCUAAAUUUCAUGUUUUGAUCAUUAUCAAGUGAGAAACCUCAAUCCAGACUCCUCAUAAUGACGUUUGAGAUUUAUGCUGCUGUUAUUUGUUUAGUCCAGACUAAAUGACAGAAAUCCACAACUGUAAUUUUAUUUCAGGACUCGGUUAUUAAAUGUCAAAACAAUCCAUGUGACUCUAAAAACUCAACAGCUUUACAAACUCUAAGAUUAAACUCUCCACAAGGAUCCAAAAUAAGUUGGACUUCUACAUGAGAACUUGAAUUAUUCUUCAUCUACUUCCUGAAAGGUUUGGUCAAUAAAAAAGACAAAAACUAAUAUUUUCAGCUGAACUAAAGACAGAGUUUGUGAUUUUUCUGCUCACAUGUUGUGUUUUUGUAAACUUCCUCUUUCAAAUAAAUAGCCUCCUAACCCCCUGGAAACCAGCGUUUGUCCUGUUUUUGUGUUGCUCCUCGGCGACCCUAGACAGCCGGGUCCUAAUGUUUUUUGAGCAACACACCAUACUAUGACGUUUUUACAAUGAUGGUUCUACUAUGGAACCAGUUUGACAUGUUCAGGUGUUCUUUGUGUGAAAACUCAGAGAUUUCAGGUAUCGGAAGGUGGUUUUCAACUUUCUUUGUUAACUUUAUGCUUCAACUUUAAACUAAAUUUCCUUCACUAACCCAGCCCUCUGGACUUCCAGGAAGCUGUGUUCCUAUUGGCUGUCCAGGUGGCUGCUUGGUGUUAUCAGGAACACCUGAGCAGCUCAGUGUCUUCCUGCUUUAUGUGGCUGCAGACAAACAUUUCCUCUGCUUCUCUUCACCACUGAACCGGGUUUGGCUCCAUUGCUUUAGUUUGUUCUUUAGGCGUCGGCUUGCAGCUUCCAGCAGUAAAAUUGUCUUUAAUGUGUUUCUUGGUGUGUUUUAGGGCUUUGUACUGGACAGUUGUCUUGGUAAAUUUGGUUCUUUAGCCACAGUUAGCACAUGGUGCUAAUGUGUGCAGUGAUUAGUGG
Molecule: long non-coding RNA, 4887 nt
Organism: Amphiprion ocellaris (clown anemonefish)
Lineage: Eukaryota; Metazoa; Chordata; Actinopteri; Pomacentridae
Source: Ensembl